RNAcentral lists this ribosomal RNA (439 nucleotides) under uncultured bacterium. RNAcentral's name for it is "partial 16S ribosomal RNA". It matches the Rfam family "Bacterial small subunit ribosomal RNA", at positions 338 to 795 of the family's 1533-position model. The record is from RNAcentral.
CCUACGGGUGGCAGCAGUGGGGAAUAUUGCACAAUGGGGGAAACCCUGAUGCAGCGACGCCGCGUGAGCGAUGAAGUAUUUCGGUAUGUAAAGCUCUAUCAGCAGGGAAGAAAAUGACGGUACCUGACUAAGAAGCCCCGGCUAACUACGGCCCGGCAGCCGCGGUAAUACGCAGGUGGCAAGCGUUGUCCGGAUGUACUGGGUGUAAAGGGCGUGUAGCCGGGCUGACAAGUCAGAUGUGAAAUCCGGGGCUCAACCCCCGAACUGCAUUUGAAACUGUUGGUCUUGAGUAUCGGAGAGGCAGGCGGAAUGCCUAGUGUAGCGGUGAAAUGCGUAGAUAUUAGGAAGAACACCAGUGGCGAAGGCGGCCUGCUGGACGACAACUGACGGUGAGGCGCGAAAGCGUGGGGAGCAAACAGGAUUAGAUACCCCUGUAGUC